UACGAAGGGGGCUAGCGUUGUUCGGAAUUACUGGGCGUAAAGGGUGCGUAGGUGGUUUUUUAAGUCCGUUGUGAAAUCCCUGGGCUCAACCUGGGAAUGGCAGUGGAUACUGGGAAGCUAGAGUGCGGUAGAGGGUAGUGGAAUUCCCGGUGUAGCAGUGAAAUGCGUAGAGAUCGGGAGGAACACCAGUGGCGAAGGCGGCUACCUGGACCAGCACUGACACUGAGGCACGAAAGCGUGGGGAGCAAACAGG
This 253-nucleotide ribosomal RNA is filed under the name uncultured bacterium. RNAcentral describes it as "partial 16S ribosomal RNA". It matches the Rfam family "Bacterial small subunit ribosomal RNA", at positions 524 to 776 of the family's 1533-position model. The record is from RNAcentral.